Molecule: non-coding RNA, 24 nt
Filed under: Arabidopsis thaliana (thale cress)
Lineage: Eukaryota; Viridiplantae; Streptophyta; Magnoliopsida; Brassicales; Brassicaceae
Source: RNAcentral
UGGCACCUGAAUACGCAUGUAUGC